GUGAGCCGCAUGCGGGGAGACCCGCACGUACGGUUUUCAGGGGGAUCCGGCCAGCCGGCGCCCACCCGAC
Molecule: non-coding RNA, 70 nt
Organism: Triticum aestivum (bread wheat)
Lineage: Eukaryota; Viridiplantae; Streptophyta; Magnoliopsida; Poales; Poaceae
Source: Rfam